GAAAUCAUUUUAUUGCACUUGACCUUAAACUGUCUCUCCGUAACCUUUCUGCCAACAUUAAGGCCAAGUAGGUGCAAAUUAAGGUAAGAAGACAGAGUGGAUGGGAGUGGGUGGGUGAACAGGACAGAGGAGGCCGCCAGGUGGAUUUCUCAUUGGCGGAGAGGACGCCCAAACCCUCAGACCUGGCACCCAGCCUGGACAGGGUCGGGAUCCUGCAGGCUCCACGGAGCAGCCCCUUUGUUUGUAUUCUAAUGUGUUUUGCAGCACAGAACAGAAGCUGCACUGUUAUGCUGGAGCAUUUCAUGAACCUCAAGUCUUUUAUCUGAAAUCAAAGCUUAAAUGACUUCUUUUAUCUGCUGGCUCGUGGGCCAGCCCCGUCCAGUGGCUGAAUGAAAAGGAGGAAGGCCAGUGCUGUCCCAUUUGCAGGCUUCAAUGAGCUCGACAGCCCUGGGAUCUCAGAGAGCAGAGAGCUGAUCUGGUUGCAGGGACUUCAAAGACAACAGGCGCAGGAGCCCACACUGCCUCAGACUGGCCAUGGCCAAGCCCCGGCUGGAUGGCACAAUGCGAGGCCUUCCCUGACGGCCAGGCCCGUCCACCCUCGGUCUGGGGAGGGGGUUGGCUGGGAGGUGGGCAGCGUCUUCCAGUGGUGAAGAUGAAGUCACCCAAACGAAACCCUUCUGCCUACAAUUAAGAGUGCAGUUUCUCUGCACAGAAGGUGGAAAUCGUGUUUUUAUGACCAGAGCUUCCUUCUUCCCAUGACUUCCCCUUAUAAGAUUGUGUCUUCUCUGGGAACAAUUAGAUAUUAAUUAUGCGGUAAAUGCUUUUUAUAGUGCCAAAGAUUCUAUAUAUGCCUGAAAGAAAAUAAAAUAAAACAAACAACACUGUUCUUCAAGAAAAAUGGAGUCUCACCGGUGAGCAAUUCUUAUGAAACAGGAGAAUUUGGCUUGGCAGAAGCCACGGGGCCAUCCCAGGUACCACUGUGAGCUGCUCCAUCCUGCCUCCGGCACCUCCUCUUCACCCGGCACCUCCUUGUGCCAUCCCGAGGCCGUCAUCCCUCCACCCUCCCCAGCUCCACGGAGCCCUCCAGUGCUCCAGGCCACUGACUCUCCGAGUGGGUCCCUGAACCAGCAGCAUCAGCAUUACUCUCUGCAAACUUGUCAGAAAUGCAAAUUCUCAGAACACCCCAGACCUUCUGAAUCUCAGGACAGUGACCGGAUGUACAAGAGUUGGAGAACCAGUGCCUGGGCCUUUUCUUCCCCUCUUCUCUCCAUUACGAAAGAAAAACAAUGCUACAUCCCUUCCAGUGGGGAGCCCAUGCGCACUGUGACACGCUGUGCUGUGUGCAUUCCACCGCCACUUCUGCUCAGUGUCCCGACACAGCAGACAGUGAGAGCAGCAGGACAGGGCAAAGGUACAGCCAGUGCUCACGCUGCUGUGAUCUACACACAGCCUCAGCCAGACCCAGCGCAUGGGUCUAACUCUCAGGUAUCUAUUCAGACAUGGUCUCACGGAGGGCCAGGCAGCCUUGGGGCCCAAUCACAAGCCAGUUAGAAAGGCCACGGAGUACAACAAUCACUGGUUAAUGAUGUCAUAACACUUUGAGUGCUGCCUACUAAUUAUGACAUCAUUAACAAUCUCCAGCACUUUGCAAAGAGAUCCCCAAGUUUGCUCUUUCACCCACAGUAAAGACACUCCCAC
Molecule: long non-coding RNA, 1698 nt
Organism: Homo sapiens (human)
Lineage: Eukaryota; Metazoa; Chordata; Mammalia; Primates; Hominidae
Source: Ensembl